GAUGAAGAACGCAGCGAAAUGCGAUAAGUAAUGUGAAUUGCAGAAUUCCGUGAAUCAUCGAAUCUUUGAACGCACAUUGCGCCCCCUGGCAUUCCGGGGGGCAUGCCUGUCCGAGCGUCAUUUCUGCCCUCCAGCCCGGCUGGGUGUUGGGCGCUGUCCCCCCGGGGACACGCCCCAAAGGCAGUGGCGGCGCCGCGUCGGGUCCUCGAGCGUAUGGGGCUUUGUCACCCGCUCGGGACGGACUCGUCGGCGCUGGUCUUCCUCCAGGCGACCCUUCGGGGCUCGUCUUCCUUCGGUUGACCUCGGAUCAGGUAGGGUUACCCGCUGAACUUAAGCAUAUCAAUAAGCGGAAGA
RNAcentral lists this unclassified non-coding RNA (354 nucleotides) under soil metagenome. RNAcentral describes it as "partial contains 5.8S ribosomal RNA, internal transcribed spacer 2, and large subunit ribosomal RNA". The stretch from base 1 to 120 matches the Rfam family "5.8S ribosomal RNA", at positions 35 to 154 of the family's 154-position model. The record is from RNAcentral.